Molecule: ribosomal RNA, 220 nt
Filed under: uncultured bacterium
Lineage: Bacteria
Description: partial 16S ribosomal RNA
Rfam family: Bacterial small subunit ribosomal RNA
Source: RNAcentral
UACGUAGGGUGCGAGCGUUAAUCGGAAUUACUGGGCGUAAAAGCGUGCGCAGGCGGUUUUUGUAAGCCAGAUGUGAAAAUCCCCCGGGCUCAACCUGGGGACGCCACUCGAUACUGCUGCGGCUAGAGUCCAGUAGAGGAGUGUGGAAUUCCCGGUGUAGCGGUGAAAUGCGCAGAUAUCGAGAGGAACACCUGCGGCGAAGGCGGGUUGCUGGGCUGAU